UACGUAGGUGGCAAGCGUUGUCCGGAUUUAUUGGGCUUAAAGGGUGCGUAGGCGGUCUUAUAAGUCAGUGCUGAAAUAUCCCGGCUUAACCGGGAGGGUGGCAUUGAUACUGUAGGACUUGAGUAGAGUUGAGGUUGGCGGAAUUGACGGUGUAGCGGUGAAAUGCUUAGAUAUCGUCAAGAACACCGAUAGUGAAGACAGCUAACUAAGCUCAAACUGACGCUGAGGCACGAAAGUGUGGGGAUCAAACAGG
This 253-nucleotide ribosomal RNA is filed under the name uncultured bacterium. RNAcentral's name for it is "partial 16S ribosomal RNA". It matches the Rfam family "Bacterial small subunit ribosomal RNA", at positions 524 to 776 of the family's 1533-position model. The record is from RNAcentral.